GCCUCCGAGGAUGAACAAAAAUAAAACUUUCGUUCUUCUUAGCUGUUUCCAUGCGGAAAAAUAUUGGAGACCUGAACUGAGGAGGC
Glycine soja is the source of this 86-nucleotide non-coding RNA. The record is from Rfam. Lineage: Eukaryota; Viridiplantae; Streptophyta; Magnoliopsida; Fabales; Fabaceae.